Molecule: small nuclear RNA, 173 nt
Filed under: Sparus aurata (gilthead seabream)
Lineage: Eukaryota; Metazoa; Chordata; Actinopteri; Spariformes; Sparidae
Description: U1 spliceosomal RNA (ENSSAUG00010024793.1)
Rfam family: U1 spliceosomal RNA
About the family: U1 is a small nuclear RNA (snRNA) component of the spliceosome (involved in pre-mRNA splicing). Its 5' end forms complementary base pairs with the 5' splice junction, thus defining the 5' donor site of an intron.
Source: Rfam by way of RNAcentral
GUACUUUUUUGACAGAAAUCAAUAAAGGCUUCUAAAAAGUGAAAAAGUGGUUCACCCGGGGCGAGGCUCAGCCAUUGCAUUCCGGUUGUGCUGACCCCUGCGAAUUCCCCAAAUGUGGGAUUCUCGACUGCAUAAUUUGUGGUAGUGUGUGUGUGUGUGUGUGUGUGUGUGUG